RNAcentral lists this ribosomal RNA (466 nucleotides) under uncultured bacterium. RNAcentral describes it as "bacterial SSU rRNA". It matches the Rfam family "Bacterial small subunit ribosomal RNA", at positions 338 to 795 of the family's 1533-position model. The record is from RNAcentral.
CCUACGGGUUGCAGCAGUGGGGAAUAUUGGACAAUGGGGGGAACCCUGAUCCAGCCAUGCCGCGUGUGUGAAGAAGGCCUUAUGGUUGUAAAGCACUUUAAGCGAGGAGGAGGCUACUGAGACUAAUACUCUUGGAUAGUGGACGUUACUCGCAGAAUAAGCACCGGCUAACUCUGUGCCAGCAGCCGCGGUAAUACAGAGGGUGCGAGCGUUAAUCGGAUUUACUGGGCGUAAAGCGUGCGUAGGCGGCUUUUUAAGUCGGAUGUGAAAUCCCCGAGCUUAACUUGGGAAUUGCAUUCGAUACUGGGAAGCUAGAGUAUGGGAGAGGAUGGUAGAAUUCCAGGUGUAGCGGUGAAAUGCGUAGAGAUCUGGAGGAAUACCGAUGGCGAAGGCAGCCAUCUGGCCUAAUACUGACGCUGAGGUACGAAAGCAUGGGGAGCAAACAGGAUUAGAUACCCUUGUAGUC